Teleopsis dalmanni is the source of this 511-nucleotide long non-coding RNA. RefSeq lists it as uncharacterized. The record is from RefSeq and is a predicted model, not a curated record. The transcript is spliced from 2 exons. Lineage: Eukaryota; Metazoa; Arthropoda; Insecta; Diptera; Diopsidae.
UAAUAAAAAAAAAAUACACUUUUGUAAAUUUAUUUUUAAAACUUUUAGACUUUUCCCACAAUAUGCAAUAUAACAUUGUGCAAAAUUUGGAGUUAUAUGUAUAAAUUUGUAUAAAUCUAUUAGCUGAGAAUAUCUUCAUUACUUUUGGAUUUUAUUUAAUUCAAGAUUUAACAUGGAGGGAGCAGUUGGUGAGCACCUUAUUAAUAUCAGUUUAAAGGUAAUCGAGGUAGGACAUCGCGUGGGUGAGAUAGCGAAAAACGUUAAGGACAACCAAUUAACAUGGCCUAUUUGCAAAUGUGCUGCACUAUUUGUCUUUGGCAUUAUCCUGACCAAGCGUCUUGAACGUGUAGUUCCCCUCGUCGUGCAAAAUUAAUGUGGUUGCAUGGGAUUUUGUCCAUUGGGUGCUAAUAUAAAUGUACACUGCUAAAUUACACGAGUAAGUAUAAUGUCUUUGUAUGUUGGAGAAUAGAUUUAAACUUGCAAUAAAAAAUAGUGUUGUUUUAUAAAGUCA